Molecule: ribosomal RNA, 217 nt
Filed under: Glomeromycotina sp.
Lineage: Eukaryota; Fungi; Glomeromycota
Description: partial small subunit ribosomal RNA
Rfam family: Eukaryotic small subunit ribosomal RNA (bases 93-217)
Source: RNAcentral
GGGUCUGUCCAUUGGUCGGGCUUCACGGUCCGUACUGGUGAGAUGGGUUCCUACCUUCUGAAUAACCGGCAUGCCAUUCAGUUGGUGCGCCGGGGAAGCAGAGCUAUUACCUUGAAAAAAUUAGAGUGCUUAAAGCAGGCUAUUGCUUGAAUAGAUUAGCAUGGAAUAAUAAAAUAGGACGGCAUGGUUCUAUUUUGUUGGUUUCUGAAUCACCGUA